This 542-nucleotide long non-coding RNA is filed under the name Pelusios castaneus (West African mud turtle). Its description in RNAcentral is "lncRNA (ENSPCEG00000013763.1)". Lineage: Eukaryota; Metazoa; Chordata; Testudines; Pelomedusidae. The record is from RNAcentral.
GGCGGCCAAGCCACAUAAGAGCGGAACACAUCGCCUCACGGCCCAAGCUGGGCACCGCCUGACGGACGGCCCCACGCCAGACCGAGGCCAGCCAGCACUGGGGGACGGGAGUGCGAUAAGGGAUCUUCCCCCACCACCAACCUAAGGCACAAAUUGGUAGGCCACGAUUCCCGGCGCGGCGCGGUAGCAGCAACGGGAACAAUAAAGCUUCAACAACAGCCAGCCCACCCGCCGGCGGCGCCGGGCCUCGCUUGCGCGCCGCCAUCUUGAGGCCACAGAUAAUCCCGGCUCUGCCCCACCCCGCACGGCCGCCCGUGUCACGUGUCGAGAGCGGGUCUUGGCAAAGUAUCCUAGCAGACUGAGACGGCUGCCUGGUCACGUGACUUUUUGGCCGGAGGACACCUGGCGUUCCAGCAGGCCCCAUCCGGGCUUGGAGGCGGAGGAGGCCACGCUCACGGGAUGAGAUCCUGGAAGACAUCAUCCGUGUCAGCGAGCGGGCGGAGGCGCGCAUCGCUGCUAGGCACGAGGAGGACCAGGCCCAG